RNAcentral lists this ribosomal RNA (465 nucleotides) under Vreelandella stevensii. RNAcentral describes it as "partial 16S ribosomal RNA". It matches the Rfam family "Bacterial small subunit ribosomal RNA", at positions 338 to 795 of the family's 1533-position model. Lineage: Bacteria; Pseudomonadati; Pseudomonadota; Gammaproteobacteria; Oceanospirillales; Halomonadaceae. The record is from RNAcentral.
CCUACGGGUGGCUGCAGUGGGGAAUAUUGGACAAUGGGGGGAACCCUGAUCCAGCCAUGCCGCGUGUGUGAAGAAGGCCCUCGGGUUGUAAAGCACUUUCAGUGAGGAAGAACGCCUGGUGGUUAAUACCCAUCAGGAAAGACAUCACUCACAGAAGAAGCACCGGCUAACUCCGUGCCAGCAGCCGCGGUAAUACGGAGGGUGCGAGCGUUAAUCAGAAUUACUGGGCGUAAAGCGCGCGUAGGUGGCUUGAUAAGCCGGUUGUGAAAGCCCCGGGCUCAACCUGGGAACGGCAUCCGGAACUGUCAAGCUAGAGUGCAGGAGAGGAAGGUAGAAUUCCCGGUGUAGCGGUGAAAUGCGUAGAGAUCGGGAGGAAUACCAGUGGCGAAGGCGGCCUUCUGGACUGACACUGACACUGAGGUGCGAAAGCGUGGGUAGCAAACAGGAUUAGAUACCCGAGUAGUC